Molecule: small nuclear RNA, 107 nt
Organism: Puma concolor (puma)
Lineage: Eukaryota; Metazoa; Chordata; Mammalia; Carnivora; Felidae
Source: RefSeq, a predicted model, not a curated record
GAGCUCACAGCAGCAGCACAUGCACUAAAAUUGGAAGGAUGCAGAGAAGAUUAGCACGGCCCCUGUGCAAGGGUGACAUGCAAAUUCAUGCGAAGCUUCACACGCUU